Non-coding RNA from Curvularia clavata, 101 nucleotides. NCBI's taxonomy places the organism in Eukaryota, Fungi, Ascomycota, Dothideomycetes, Pleosporales, Pleosporaceae. The record is from the annotation of a GenBank genome assembly.
GCUUGAGUGGCCAAGUGGUAAGGCGUCGCACUUGUACCUUCAAGGUCAUGCGAAGAUCCAUGGUUGUAAGUUCAUCCCAGGUUCGAAUCCAAGUUCGUCCU